AGUGUAGUGAGAUGGAUGGAGGAAUAACCAAAAGAGUGAAAAAAGGAUUAGCUAAAUCACCCUUAAGGUGGCCGGCCUUUGUGUAGUUUUAGAGAGAUAUUUCUUUUGCCUCUUUGUUGUUUUAAACACACAAAAACCCUAAGGAAUAAAUCUCUAUAAAGUUCCUUAAAUAGACAAAAAGAAACCUAGUCAACAACUUGACUUAAUAUCUCUCCCUCUCCACUUUAAAUGGCCGGCCCCUUUGUGUUGGUUUGGGCUUUGGGCUUUUAUUUAUUUCUAGUCAUCCAAUGCUUGAAUAAAAGCCUAAUGGGUUUAGGCCCAAUGGGCCCAAUUAAACCCAAACGUUUCUUUAAGCCCAAAAUGAUCUUUUAUCGCUUUUAUGAUUUCUUUAGACUUUCUAAAUUAAUCACAACACUUAAUUAAUCCAAUUAAUUAUUUCUAUCAUCCAUUA
Molecule: long non-coding RNA, 451 nt
Filed under: Malus domestica (apple)
Lineage: Eukaryota; Viridiplantae; Streptophyta; Magnoliopsida; Rosales; Rosaceae
Description: long non-coding RNA (MDOM_LNC018630)
Source: RNAcentral